RNAcentral lists this ribosomal RNA (465 nucleotides) under uncultured bacterium. RNAcentral describes it as "partial 16S ribosomal RNA". It matches the Rfam family "Bacterial small subunit ribosomal RNA", at positions 28 to 507 of the family's 1533-position model. The record is from RNAcentral.
GACGAACGCUGGCGGCGUGCUUAACACAUGCGAGUCGAACGGAAAGGCCCUGCUUGCAGGGUACUCGAGUGGCGAACGGGUGAGUAACACGUGGGUGAUCUGCCCUGCACUUCGGGAUAAGCCUGGGAAACUGGGUCUAAUACCGGAUAGGAGCCAUUUUGAGUGUGAUGGUUGGAAAGUUUUUUCGGUGUGGGAUGAGCUCGCUGCCUAGCAGCUUGUUGGUGGGGUAAUGGCCUACCAAGGCGGCGGCGGGUAGCCGGCCUGAGGGGGUGGACGGCCACCUUGGGACUGAGGUGCGGCCCCGACACCUACGGGAGGCCGCAGUGGGGAAGCUUGACCAAGCGGCGCCAGCCUGAUGCAGCGACGCCGCGUGGGGGAUGACGGCCUUCGGGUUGUAAACUCCUUUCGCUAGGGACGAAGCUUUUUGUGACGGUACCUAGAUAAGAAGCACCGGCUAACUACGUG